Molecule: transfer RNA, 73 nt
Filed under: Macroderma gigas (Australian ghost bat)
Lineage: Eukaryota; Metazoa; Chordata; Mammalia; Chiroptera; Megadermatidae
Description: tRNA-Asn
Source: RNAcentral
UAGAUUGAAGCCAGUUGUGUAGGGUUUUUAGCUGUUAACUAAAGUUUCGCGGGAUCGAGGCCCGCCAAUCUAG